RNAcentral lists this small RNA (183 nucleotides) under Chelonoidis abingdonii (Abingdon island giant tortoise). RNAcentral describes it as "TUC338 (ENSCABG00000013657.1)". Lineage: Eukaryota; Metazoa; Chordata; Testudines; Testudinidae. The record is from RNAcentral.
ACGAUAGUCCCAGUGACUGACCAUCACAGCCUCCCAUAGAAUAGACACAGCAUGCAUAGGGGCAAUGCAAUUUCCCCCCCUAGUGAGCCAGUCAAUGUGCCUCAACCCUGACAUGGAAGGACCACUUCUGGGGAUGGGAGACUUUUUCAGUUCCUCUGUGCCCAUUCGAAAUCCUUGGCCUCU